GCAAAAAUUGGGGAUGCGAGAUGUCAUGGGAGGCAUCCUGGAAGCCCUCCUCGAGCUGGGACUAUAUUAAGGUAGUAGCAAACUAUACCUUGGAACCCUACGUUCCUGGUGGGGUAUCCGUGCCAGAAUGUGCCUAUAACUGGUGCCACCCACUCUGUGUCACUUUCACUGAGCCGGGAAAGAUGGCCAAAGAAUGGGUGAAAGGAUAUACUUGGGGCCUUAGGUUUUAUAAAGACGGUUAUGAUGUGGGAUUACUGCUCACCGUCAAGUUACAAAUAGAAGCUCCUUGUACCCCAGAUGUAUAAAAAGUGUGUACUUUAGCUAUGGGAGGUCACCACUGUCUUAUGGGCAGGACGGCCCCAGCUUACUGGAUCAUUAAACCUCUUGCUUGAU
Molecule: long non-coding RNA, 393 nt
Filed under: Rattus norvegicus (Norway rat)
Lineage: Eukaryota; Metazoa; Chordata; Mammalia; Rodentia; Muridae
Description: long non-coding RNA NONRATT020143
Source: RNAcentral